RNAcentral lists this ribosomal RNA (389 nucleotides) under uncultured archaeon. Its description in RNAcentral is "bacterial SSU rRNA". It matches the Rfam family "Archaeal small subunit ribosomal RNA", at positions 331 to 720 of the family's 1478-position model. The record is from RNAcentral.
UGCAGCAGGCGCGAAACCUUUACACUGCACGACAGUGCGAUAGGGGGACUCCGAGUGUGAGGGCAUAUAGCCCUCGCUUUUCUGUACCGUAAGGUGGUACAGGAACAAGGACUGGGCAAGACCGGUGCCAGCCGCCGCGGUAAUACCGGCAGUCCGAGUGAUGGCCGAUAUUAUUGGGCCUAAAGCGUCCGUAGCUUGCUGUGUAAGUCCAUUGGGAAAUCGACCAGCUCAACUGGUCGGCGUCCGGUGGAAACUACACAGCUUGGGGCCGAGAGACUCAACGGGUACGUCCGGGGUAGGAGUGAAAUCCCGUAAUCCUGGACGGACCACCAAUGGGGAAACCACGUUGAGAGACCGGACCCGACAGUGACGCCCGAAGGCACGGUCGC